UACGGGGGGAGCAAGCGUUGUUCGGAUUUACUGGGCGUAAAGGGCGCGUAGGCGGCCACCGCAAGUCGACUGUGAAAUCUCCGGGCUUAACUCGGAAAGGUCAGCCGAUACUGCGGGGCUAGAGUGCAGAAGGGGCAACUGGAAUUCUCGGUGUAGCGGUGAAAUGCGUAGAUAUCGAGAGGAACACCUGCGGCGAAGGCGGGUUGCUGGGCUGACACUGACGCUGAGGCGCGAAAGCGUGGGGAGCGAACAGG
This 254-nucleotide ribosomal RNA is filed under the name uncultured bacterium. Its description in RNAcentral is "partial 16S ribosomal RNA". It matches the Rfam family "Bacterial small subunit ribosomal RNA", at positions 524 to 776 of the family's 1533-position model. The record is from RNAcentral.